RNAcentral lists this ribosomal RNA (371 nucleotides) under uncultured eukaryote. RNAcentral's name for it is "partial 18S ribosomal RNA". It matches the Rfam family "Eukaryotic small subunit ribosomal RNA", at positions 592 to 976 of the family's 1831-position model. The record is from RNAcentral.
CAAUAGCGUAUAUUAAAGUUGUUGCAGUUAAAAAGCUCGUAGUUGAAUUUCUGUCAGGAGUGACCGGGCCUUUGGAUGAACUUCCAUUGUUUUUUGCUCUGUUUGUCAUCUCUAGACAUCCUGAAAUAUUUUUUAAAAAUAUUUCUCUUUUACUGUUAGCAAAAUAGAGUGUUCCAAGCAAAGCGUAGUUUUGAAUACAUUAGAAUGGAAUAAUAAGAUAGGACUUUGGUGCUAUUUUGUUGGUUUGCACACCAAGGUAAUGAUUAAUAGGGACAGUUGGGGGUAUUCGUAUUUAAUUGUCAGAGGUGAAAUUCUUGGAUUUAUGAAAGACGAACUACUGCGAAAGCGUCUGCCAAGGAUGUUUUCAUUGA